CCGAGGCCGGCCACAAGCCCACGGUCCCUUCUGCACGGUCCCUGCCGCGCUGGGGCCACCGUGGAGGCCCGGAGGGCCCUGGGAGGAGGGAGGAGGAGCAGAGGCUUUCGGGAGAACCCAGCCCUUCACCGGCCAGGGGAGGCCGCGAUGCAUCGCGACUGGUUGUGAAGAGCCAGGGGAAGAACUUUACCGUGCAGGUGAGUGGGAGACAUCAGAACACCUGCCUGUCCUAAAUACGAAGCCUCGAAUCCUAACCUAUAAAAGGUUACCUUAGGGUUUAGGGUUAGGGCUACAGAUUAGAGCUAGGGAUUAAGGUUAGAGUUGGGGUUGGGGUUAGGGUUUAGGGGUUAGAAGUUAGUUUUGGGGUUAGGAGUGGGGUUAGAAUUAGGGUUUGGGGUUAGUGUUAGGGGUAGGGGAAGGAUUGGGGUAGGGUUAGGGUUGGGCUAGGGUCGGGGUAGGGGUAGGGUUUUACGGUUAGGGUCAGGGUUUUAGUGUUGGGGUUAGGGUAUUGGGGUUAGGGUUUGGGGGCUAGGGGAUUAGGGUCAGGGGUGGGGGUUAGGGUUUGGGAUUUGGCUAAGGUUUGUAAGGGUUAGGGUUUUAGGGUAGGGGAUAGGGGUUAGGGUUACGUGUUGGGGUUGGGAUUAGGGUUAGGGGUUACAGUUUAGGGUAAGGGGUUAGAGUUAAGGGUUAGGGUUAGCAUUAGGAGUUACAGUUGGGUUAAGGGUUAGGGGUUAGGCUUAGUGUUGUUAGGGUUAGCUUCAGGGUUCGGUGUCAGGGUUUGGGGUGGGGUAGUGGUAGGUUUAGGGGUAGCGUUGUGUGUUAGGAUUUGUGGUUACGGUUCGGGCUAGGGUUUUAGGGGUAGGCAUAGGUUCGAGUUUGGGUUUGGGUGUUAGGUUUAUGGCUAGCAUUAGGGUAGGGGUUAGGUGUAGGAGUAGGGGUUGAGGUUAUGAGUUGAGGUUAGGGUUAGGGGUCAGGGGUCCGGUCAAGGGUUGGUGUUGGAUUUAGGGAUUAGGGCUAGAAUUAGGGGUUAGGGUUAGGGGUUUGUGUCGGGGUUGGGUUGGAGGCUUGGGUUCAGGGUCAAGUUUAGGGUUGGGGCUAGGGCUUAGGGUUAUGGGUUAGUGUUAGCAGUUAGGGUUAAGGUUUAGGCUUAGGGUUUAGUGCUUGAGGUGGGGGUUAGGUGUUAGGGGUUAGGGUUAAGGGUUAGUGUUUUGCGUUAGUGGUUAGGGUUAAGGGUUAUGGUUAAGGGUCAGCGUUAGGGUCAGGGGUUAGGGGUAGGGGUUGUGCUUAGUUUUAGGGUUAGGGUUCCUGGACGGAUGGUUUUCCUGCUUGGGAAUGUUCCUGGGCUGUGAGAUCCACUCUUCUGGGCAGGUGGUUAGCACCUAACGUUUUCCCCUUACUUCCCCCCAAAUUCUUAAGUCCUUUGGUCCAUUUCAUUACUUCUUUUGGGGAGGGCCUGAUUCCUCAGGGCCUCAGUGGCAGAACCAGCCUGAGGUCACCUCCCUGUCCAUGGGUUACCACGGCCCCUGGGCAGGCAUGGGGAGCUGGGGUGGCUUGGGUUCCUGGCCUUGGCACCUCCCUUUGGGCGGCUCUGGAGUGUGGCUGGGCUGUUGGUACAGGAGCCACAGGCCACUGCCUUUUUGGCUGAGGGGACCCUAACAUCCUGGAGCAGGUGGGGCAGGGCCCAUGGUCUCCUCUAGGUGGGAGGUGGGAGGCUGAGGCGGCGUGGGCAGGCAGGUGGAUGGCGAGGCAGCAUGGGCAGGACGGUGGAUGGCGGGUCCACAGGGGCAGCCAGCAGCUCCUGCACCCACUGGGGCUCCAAGACUGUGGGCAAGGGAGGAAGGGGGAGCCCAGGCCGGAGGAUCCUGGGGGACGGUGCGGCCCGGGGGCCAGAUGUGGUCACCGAGCCCAGCCAGGCCUAGGGCCGCAGCAGCCCCAGGGCACUGAGGGCGCCACCCAGCCCGACACAGAGGCACAGGCCGCCCGUGGGUCCAGCGCCCGAAGUCCACGUACAGUAGCUGUAGAUGCCGAGCCGGUCCUGUUGCCUCCGGGAACCCAGUCCUCCUCGUCCUCCAGGCCGCGUUCCCCGGGUCCCGCGGCCCUUCUCCAGCCUGAGCCCGCCGCCCCGGCCGCAGCCACGCGCAGGGAGGAGCCCGGGGCACCAUAGCACAGCGCCGGCCUCACACACACCCUCGAGGCCCCUCUCGAGCCCCCGCGGAGCCCUCCGCGGCCGCACGCAGAGGAAGGCUGCCUCCUGUAGCAGAGCCCAGCCAUUCGCGGGUGCCCAGUUCAUCUUCAUGGGGCUAAACCUGCGGGAAGAGAGGGAAAGGGCCCUUAGUUUCCAUGGAGAUCGGGUGCCCAGAGGCGGAGGGCUCAAGGCUGGAGAGCAGAGGGACCCCCAUCUUUUGUGGGAUCAGGGUGCCCCCAGCAUCUUGGAGGCCCACUGAGGCCUGGGGGGGCGCGGUUU
This 2464-nucleotide long non-coding RNA is filed under the name Homo sapiens (human). RNAcentral describes it as "long non-coding RNA NONHSAT017163.2". Lineage: Eukaryota; Metazoa; Chordata; Mammalia; Primates; Hominidae. The record is from RNAcentral.